UGUUGAUCCUGGCUCUAGAUUGAACGCUGGCGGCAUGCCUUACACAUGCAAGUCGAACGGCAGCACGGGGGCAACCCUGGUGGCGAGUGGCGAACGGGUGAGUAAUACAUCGGAACGUGUCCUGUAGUGGGGGAUAGCCCGGCGAAAGCCGGAUUAAUACCGCAUACGAUCUACGGAAGAAAGCGGGGGAUCGCAAGACCUCGCGCUAUAGGGGCGGCCGAUGGCAGAUUAGCUAGUUGGUGGGGUAAAGGCCUACCAAGGCGACGAUCUGUAGCUGGUCUGAGAGGACGACCAGCCACACUGGGACUGAGACACGGCCCAGACUCCUACGGGAGGCAGCAGUGGGGAAUUUUGGACAAUGGGGGAAACCCUGAUCCAGCAAUGCCGCGUGUGUGAAGAAGGCCUUCGGGUUGUAAAGCACUUUUGUCCGGAAAGAAAACUUCUGCCCUAAUACGGUGGGAGGAUGACGGUACCGGAAGAAUAAGCACCGGC
This 492-nucleotide ribosomal RNA is filed under the name Burkholderia sp. EPML218. RNAcentral describes it as "bacterial SSU rRNA". It matches the Rfam family "Bacterial small subunit ribosomal RNA", at positions 10 to 497 of the family's 1533-position model. The record is from RNAcentral. Lineage: Bacteria; Pseudomonadati; Pseudomonadota; Betaproteobacteria; Burkholderiales; Burkholderiaceae.